UACGUAGGGCGCAAGCGUUGUCCGGAAUUAUUGGGCGUAAAGAGCUCGUAGGUGGCUUGUCGCGUCUGCCGUGAAAGCCCGUGGCUUAACUACGGGUCUGCGGUGGAUACGGGCAGGCUAGAGGCUGGUAGGGGCAAGCGGAAUUCCUGGUGUAGCGGUGAAAUGCGCAGAUAUCAGGAGGAACACCGGUGGCGAAGGCGGCUUGCUGGGCCAGUUCUGACGCUGAGGAGCGAAAGCGUGGGGAGCGAACAGGAUUAGAUACCCUGGUAGUCCACGCUGUAAACGUUGGGCGCUAGGUGUGGGGGUCUUCCACGAUUCCUGUGCCGUAGCUAACGCAUUAAGCGCCCCGCCUGGGGAGUACGGCCGCAAGGCUAAA
This 376-nucleotide ribosomal RNA is filed under the name uncultured bacterium. Its description in RNAcentral is "bacterial SSU rRNA". It matches the Rfam family "Bacterial small subunit ribosomal RNA", at positions 524 to 898 of the family's 1533-position model. The record is from RNAcentral.